UCCAGGGUAGCCUAGUGGACAUGGCAUCUGCCCGGUAAGCGGAACACUGUUGGGUUCGAUUCCCAUCCCUGGAC
Cordylochernes scorpioides is the source of this 74-nucleotide non-coding RNA. NCBI's taxonomy places the organism in Eukaryota, Metazoa, Arthropoda, Arachnida, Pseudoscorpiones, Chernetidae. The record is from the annotation of a GenBank genome assembly.